This 405-nucleotide ribosomal RNA is filed under the name uncultured bacterium. RNAcentral's name for it is "bacterial SSU rRNA". It matches the Rfam family "Bacterial small subunit ribosomal RNA", at positions 355 to 776 of the family's 1533-position model. The record is from RNAcentral.
CUGGGAAUCUUGCGCAAUGGGCGAAAGCCUGACGCAGCGACACCGCGUGUGGGAAGACAGCCUUCGGGUUGUAAACCACUGUGGCGAGGGAUGAAUUUUGACCGUACCUCGCUAGAAAGCACCUGCUAACUACGUGCCAGAAGCCUCGGUAAUACGUAGGGUGCUAGCGUUAUCCGGAUUUACUGGGCGUAAAGCGUCCGUCGGCGUCUGAUUAAGUCUUUUGUUUAAGCCUGGGGCUCAACUCCAGAAAAGCAGCAGAUACUGAUCAGAUUGAGUCUGUUUGGGGGAACUAGAAUUCUCGGUGGAGGGGUGAAAUCCGUAGAUAUCGAGAGGAAUACCAGUCGCGAAGGCGGGUUCCUAAAACAGUACUGACGCUCAGGGACGAAAGUCUGGGUAGCAAAAGGG